RNAcentral lists this long non-coding RNA (336 nucleotides) under Malus domestica (apple). Its description in RNAcentral is "long non-coding RNA (MDOM_LNC018085)". The record is from RNAcentral. Lineage: Eukaryota; Viridiplantae; Streptophyta; Magnoliopsida; Rosales; Rosaceae.
ACUUAUAUGAUUACCUUGAAUGUGAUUUGGAACGACUUCCUAAAUCUCAUUCAUACUCUGGCAAAAGAUUCUUAAUCAUAUCAUAGAGUAUUCUUAAUCAUUCGCAAUUGAGCACCUACAUACUUGUCUUGGUGUCAAUCACACCAAUGACUCAAGACCAGUCACUCUCCCUAAGAGAAGACACAACACGUACUGAUCUUAACGGACUGUCAAUGCCCAAUUGGCAAUCCUAUAAUCAGGAAUGUUUAGGAUAUGUAUACGAAAGAGAAUGGUCUCAUGAAUCUAAAUUGUUUAAAUUACAUUCUCCUAAUUACAUAUUCCUUGGACUUAUUGUUU